RNAcentral lists this transfer RNA (74 nucleotides) under Candidatus Aenigmatarchaeota archaeon. Its description in RNAcentral is "tRNA-Ile". It matches the Rfam family "tRNA". From Rfam's summary of the family: Transfer RNA (tRNA) molecules are approximately 80 nucleotides in length. Their secondary structure includes four short double-helical elements and three loops (D, anti-codon, and T loops). Lineage: Archaea; Nanobdellati; Candidatus Aenigmatarchaeota. The record is from RNAcentral.
GGGCCGGUAGCUUAGCUUGGUAGAGCAUCUGUCUUAUAAGCAGAAGGUCAUGAGUUCAAAUCUCAUCCGGCCCA